This is a long non-coding RNA of Oncorhynchus tshawytscha (Chinook salmon), 1506 nucleotides long. Lineage: Eukaryota; Metazoa; Chordata; Actinopteri; Salmoniformes; Salmonidae. The record is from Ensembl.
AAGGACUGUAUGUGAAGGUAUGACUGUGCCAGUUUGCCAGCUGCUGUGUCAGAAGCACUGACUCCUGAACUUGAGGAGGACAUGAUGCAGAGUGAGGUGAUGCAAGGGGAGGCCCCAGAGCAUGAGACCCAGGGGAACAACAUUAACAUAUCCUAUGAACUACCAGUAGAGGGCGCUAAACUCAACAACAACCUGAUGGCAGUGAAAAGCCUGCCCUUUCCACCCCAGUCCUCCUCCUCUCCCUCUCCUCCAUCUCCUCCUCAACUCACUGACGGAUCCCACUUCAUGUGUGUGUAGACGUGUCGAGGAGGUGGUUCUGUGAACUGAACUACACUCACCCAGACAUUGACCUUGGUGAGCAGUGACUCAUAAGCGUUGCCAGCCUGGAGACCCAAGAUGGCAUCCUACAGAGCCAUGAUGGCACCAGCCAGCCUGCACAGAGCAUGCCCAGUAGCUCUCUGUAUGUAUAGAAACAACUGUAGCCAGACAGACAGAAAGAGUAGAUCCACAGGCCUGCUCGUAUUACUUACUGCCUGCCUACACAAUAACUGUGAUGCAAAACUUUUUCAUUCACACAGAGAUAUCAGAGGACGAGAUAGUAUUACCAGAGUGAUAAUUGAUGAUGAUUAUUAUAAUUACUGGUAUUAUGAUGGUCUGUUAUUUUGGACAUGUUCUGUGAGGAUGUCUUGAGUGUCUAUUAGCUGAGCACUGCUGUGAAAAGGAGAGGACUGUACAGUUGUAAAUAAGAGCAUUAGAGGAGUCUCACACUGGGAAGAUCUCAAUUGCAUACUCCUUUCUCAUCUAAUGGGUUCUGAGAAGGAGACAAGGACCUGAGGAUGGGAGGAGUAUGCAUUUGAGGUCUUCCCACAAUCACACACUAUUGAGAGGGCGAAGCACCAAAUCUACACACACUAAGGCAGUGCUUUACUUUAACCACACCGGGGCGCCAUAUGCUCUUGUCUUUUUUACUGGUUUUACUCCCAUUUAAGUUUUUAACCCGAUGCCCUAAACUUUUCAUUUUCCACAUAUUUUACACCGCACAUUCCCUCAUUGUUCAAAGAAGUUGUUAAUAUAUACAUAUAUAAAACAUAUAGAAUGAACUAACUAUUCAAUGGGUUUAUACUUCAAUAAGGUGCCACCCUAUUGCUGCUGUUGGACAGAGUUUAAAUAUUUUAUAAAAGUUGUGUUUAUUUAUGUCGGGAGGAUCGGAAUCUGGUCGCCGCUGACAACCACACGUAAAUGUCCUGGGUUAGAAUCGAUCUGCUUCUCUGUUUUUUUUUUUUCUACGGCUGAGAUAUAUUUAAAGUAAAAUAUAGAAGAGAGAUAAAAUAGUUUUAUGAGAUUAGGGUUGUGUGUUAGAUUCUGUCUGAUUGUGUGGAGUCCUGGACAGAGAGAAGAGAACAGCACAUGUAUAAGCAAUAAGCAGGCGUUUUGUUCCUCCAGGACAUUCAAAUAUAAUGUACAUAAAUGUAAAGUUUCAUUGUGUAAAUGAUGUACACCAUAGAA